This 305-nucleotide ribosomal RNA is filed under the name uncultured bacterium. RNAcentral describes it as "bacterial SSU rRNA". It matches the Rfam family "Bacterial small subunit ribosomal RNA", at positions 20 to 355 of the family's 1533-position model. The record is from RNAcentral.
UGGCUCAGAACGAACGCUGGCGGCGUGCCUAAGACAUGCAAGUCGAGUGGGUUUAGACCCACGGCGAACGGGUGAGUAGAAGCUCGGAACUUUGCUUAAGUCAGGGAUAUCCUCCCGAAAGGGAGAGCAAUACCAGAUGUUAUCGCAAGAUAAAAGUCGCAAGACGCUUAAGUUGAGGCCGGGCCCCCAUCAGCUAGUUGGUUGUGUAAAAGCCUACCAAGACAAAGACGGGUAGCGGAAGCGAGAGCUUGAUCCGCCACACUUUUUCUCUCGACACGGGACUGACUCCUACGGGAGUCAGCAGU